AGUAUUUACUAAAAUCUAAGACAUUGCAGGUAAUCGUACAAUGUUUUGUAAAUCUGUGUGCAAGUGAGCAUUUUGUUUUCAUUCAGUAUUUCAAAAUAUUCUGAUUUGUGUAUCACGACACAAACUUGAAAACUUUAAAGAUUGUGUUGUUACUCACCAAAACGGUUUUGUGGUUAGACUUGGAUUAAUUUAUGGCAGGAAUUGAAAGACAUUAAGACUUGUUUCAUAAAAAAAAAAGGUGGGGAAAUUUGAAUUUUGUUUUUCUACCAACUAUUCAUAAAGAAAAAAGAAAUGUUAUUGUUCUGUCCAACAUGUGCAAAUAUAUUAGUAGUUGAGGAGGGUCCUCAGUGCUAUAGGUUUGCCUGCAGUACCUGCCCUUAUGUACACAAUGUGAAACAACGUAUCACUAACAGAAAAUAUCCUAAGUUAAAAGAAGUAGACGAUGUAUUAGGUGGAGCUGCUGCUUGGGAAAAUGUGGACUCCACUGAAGAAUCCUGUCCUAAGUGUAGCCAUAUCCGUGCUUUUUUCAUGCAGAUACAGACUCGUUCAGCUGAUGAACCCAUGACGACUUUUUAUAAAUGUUGUAAUCCUCAAUGUGGAUAUCAGUGGCGGGAAUAACAGCUUCUAAA
Molecule: long non-coding RNA, 629 nt
Organism: Limulus polyphemus (Atlantic horseshoe crab)
Lineage: Eukaryota; Metazoa; Arthropoda; Merostomata; Xiphosura; Limulidae
Exons: 2
Source: RefSeq, a predicted model, not a curated record